GUGAGCGCACGCAACCGUGCAGUCAGAUUCCUCCGCCGACCGCGGCCCUCUCUCCUCGGGCUUUGCCUUCGCUCUCUAGCUUUUCUUCUUUCACUCCCGCUCGCCGACUCCAGCCCGCUGGGCUCACGCUCUGCCGGACACCAAUCCCGGCGGCCCUGCCCGACGGAGCUCAAGGCUAGGCCUGGCCUUGUCCGCGGAGUCCGCCCCUCGCCGCCACCGGGAUCCGCCCCCGCGCCGACACGCACUUCCGGCAGCGCCGCGGCCGGGAGGGACCGAGCGGGGAGCAAGGCCUGCGGGGAGGCGCAGGAUGGACGCGUUGGCUGUCAUGAUGUAGGACCUCCUGACCUAGAACCAUGCCCGGCGCAGGGAGAACAACGAGCUUACGGACCGGGUGCGGGGGCUGCUGUGCGAGAAAGCCUACCUGCUGGCCCGGGAGCGUUCGCCGGCCCACCUGGUGGCUUUCCCUGGACGUUUAACGGCGACUCCGCCCGGCCUCCCGACUUUUUGAUGCAGGCGUUCUCUUACAUGACUUUCUUCGAGGCUAGAUUCUCGAAAGACAUCCUGAAGGUGGCUUUCUUAAUUAGCUGCCUCACCGGCUGGCGGAGCAGUUCGUAGUCGCCUACAUCGAGAGGGAGAGCCCCGUCCUGGCUCAGUACUGGGGCUUCGUGGACGCGCUGUAGCGGGUCUUCGCCGUCGUGGGUAGGAAACAGUCGGGCCGGAUCCCCGGUGUCUGGGGAGCGGCUGCCGGCCGGGCCCGCGCGAGCCGCUUCACUCCUACAAGCCCGGCUCACUAGUUCCAAGCUGCUGGACUUUGACCCUCGCUGGGAAGCUUGAUCGCCGCCUGUUCUCGCCAAUCUCUAUGCCUUUGCACUGCCCAGCAACCCGGUCACUGCCCAGGACCUGUUAAAAGUUGAAUGGACCUCCCAGAAUCACGCCGCUGCCACCGCCGUUUCUAGAGACGGCUUUUGGCCACCUUUGAGAAUCAGGGUCAAACUUGGAAGGGCCUGCAUUUGUCACACUUCCUCGGACACUAAUUUGGAUAGUUCAGGCCCAGAGACGGCUUCCCGGGUUAGUGUGCCUGACAACACUGAAGAAAAAUUGUGACAUUUUCCUUCCCCAGAAUUACUUCGUUUUAUACAUUUCACUUCUCUUCUGAAAUCACAGCAAUGCCAGUUUGCGCCUUUUGGUCUGAGGAACGCAGGCCCUGGCCACUACCAGGAAAAAAACCUUCUGGAUUUCAGCUUUGGCAAGCUUCCUCUGUUUCUGAGACACCUCCAUCACCUGGGUUACAAUCCCAUCCAUGAUUUUCCCCAUCUCCAGGCAUUUUUCAUGGAAAGCUCCUCAUGCUUUUUAAUUCCAGUUUAUCCAUUUGUGUGGCUUUAACCUCCACAUCCAGGUCUUUCUGGCUAAACUGCAGUAUAUCCACAAUGGGGCCAAUGGACACAUAAGGGAGGCCCUAUCACAGGAACACGAACACCCGGAGUCGCUAGAAAUCAGAUUCCACCGGCUUUGCUUCAGGCCGACUUCCUAAGGAAGGCAUGGUAGCAUCACAGAUGCUGUUUGUCUCAGUUUCCUGAGAAGCCAGUUUCUUAGAGCUGUCAUUCAAGAGUGGGUCAAAUUUGAGAUAUAAAAACCUUUCUCAAGGUAGACUCUUUGGCCCCUAUGCCUAGUAUGUCAGCUGGGCCUCUGAAGCUCUCCUCUUUGAGGUCCUGGCAGGCUCUGGCCCCUGUUGAGAAGGGGAAGCAGUCAUGUGAACUCAUGUGCUGGAAGAAUCCACUCUACCCCUUCCCUGGCUUCUCUGCUGCAAUUUUUGUCUUUAAACGUAUUUUCAGAUCCUUUGCACAUGGCCUGCUAUCAACAAUCCUCUACAAUGAUUCUCAGCAUCACCUAGGGAGCUUAUGUAAAAUCUCAAAUUCCUGGGCCCUAUCCCCAGAGUUUCUUAUCAAGUAAGUCUGCAUUGGGAUCUGAGGAUUUGCAUCUCUAACAAAAAUUCCUAGGCGAUGCUCACACUGUUGGUGUAAGGUUUCCUUGAUGGAGAACUAUCAAAGCAGUCAAAGCUAUCAAAAUAAAAAAGAAUUCUGAUUGGGUGCAGUGGCUCACACCUGUCAUUCCAGCACUUUGAGAGGCCAAGGUGGGCAGAUCACAUGAGGCCAGGAGUUCAAGACCAGCCUGGCCAACAUGGCAGAAACCCCAUCUCUACUAAAAAUACCAAAAUUAGCCGGGCAUGGUGGAACACACCUGCAAUCCCAGCUACUCGGGAGGCUGAGGCAAGAGAAUCGCUUGAACCUGGGAGGCAGAAGUUGCAGUGAAACAAGUUGGUGCCAAUGCAUUCCAGCCUGGA
RNAcentral lists this long non-coding RNA (2341 nucleotides) under Homo sapiens (human). Its description in RNAcentral is "LHRI_LNC283.1". The record is from RNAcentral. Lineage: Eukaryota; Metazoa; Chordata; Mammalia; Primates; Hominidae.